CCCGGUCGCACGUGGAGUUGUUGUGGGUCGGAGGUCACGUGACGCGGAAGUGGCCCUGCAGGCCCCGCCCCAAGAUGGCGGCGCCCUGUGCCCGGUGCCGUGACCCUCUCGUGCUCGCCCUGCAGUCGUAGGUGGACGGAACCCGCGGGCUAUGGAUCGGCCUGGCCUGACCGCCUCGCUGCUGGCUGGUGGAGUAGCAGGUGUUUGUGUGGACUUGAUAUUAUUUCCACUGGAUACCAUUAAAACCAGGCUGCAGAGUCCCCAAGGAUUUAAGAAGGCUGGUGGUUUUCGUGGGAUAUAUGCUGGCGUCCCUUCUACUGCUAUUGGAUCCUUCCCUAAUGCUUCUGCUUUUUUUAUCACCUAUGAAUAUGUGAAAAGUUCUUUGCACACUGAUUCAUCUUCAUAUUUGGUGCCUAUGAAGCAUAUGUUGGCUGCCUCGGCUGGAGAAGUGGUUGCCUGCCUGAUUCGAGUUCCUUCUGAAAUAGUUAAGCAGAGGGCACAGGUAUCAGCUUCUUCACGAACAUUUACAAUUUUUUCAAACAUCCUGUAUGAAGAGGGCAUCCAAGGACUAUAUCGAGGCUACAAGAGCACAGUAUUGCGAGAGAUCCCUUUCUCAUUGGUCCAGUUUCCAUUAUGGGAAUCCUUAAAAGCCCUGUGGUCCUGGAGGCAGGACCGGGCGGUGGAUUCUUGGCAGUCGGCUGUCUGCGGAGCUUUUGCAGGUGGAUUUGCGGCUGCGGUCACCACACCGCUGGACGUAGCAAAAACAAGAAUCAUGUUGGCGAAGGCUGGUUCCAGCGCCGCGAGCGGGAACGUGCUGUCCGCGCUGCACGGGGUGUGGCAGGCGCAGGGGCUGUCGGGAUUAUUUGCAGGUGUCGUCCCUCGAAUGGCGGCCAUCAGCCUGGGCGGGUUCAUCUUUCUCGGGGCUUAUGACCAGACUCGCCACUUGCUGCUGGCACUUGGCACGGAGCGCCCCUGAGACCUCUGCACCCGCUCCUUCUGAGAAGGGGACUGCUCUGAGGCCCGCCUCCCUCCCACGGAGCAGCACAGCUCUGCCGAGCAACUGAGGACAAGCCUUUCCAACAGAGACUAGGAUCGCCAUCUCAGCGAACAUUCCUUCCCGAGGAGCCAUUCAGAGCUAAGUCACCCCAGAGUCUAGCUCGCCGUUCCUGGAAAACCUCACGGCCCUGCACCAACAAACAGAGGCUGGUCCACAGCAGGAGAAAGAAGGAAGAGGAAAACGCGUGGCUUUCCCUGUCAUGACCUAUCCCUGCAACACGGGGACACCGGUGUGCUUCUUGGAACGCCCAGGGUCGUGGUGCUGCCGUGGCCACACUCUUCCCACCAUUUCACUUCGACAGGAACGAAGCAGCCAAAUGGACUGGAACUCUGGGAGAUGGGUACAGGGCUGGGCCACAGCCGCUUAUGCUCAGGGAUCACUCCUGGAGUGACCCGGGGAAGCGUGUGUGGUGCUGGAGACUGAACCGGAGCUGGCUGCAGGCAAGAUCAGUGCCCUGCCCACGCCUAGACUCUCCAGCCUCUGGAGUUCGGGUGUCUCCUGUUGGACUCUGGCCUUGGGAUGAGCAGAGAACCUGACGACAAGCUAGUCAGCAGCAGAUAAGGAAGAAAAUCUACACCAGAGAGAACCCGAGAAUGAGUCAAUUCAGUAACAAUCUCCUCUCCUAAUGAGUCAGGAAGAGAGGGACAGACAGAGAAGGACUGCGCUCAUUUGUGUAGUAUAAACUAACAUAACACAAGACCGACACCCAAGGACUGUAGAUACAAGGGCCAGGGGGACUGCCCCAUAGCUGGAAGCCUGCCUCACUAGCAGGUGGAGAGAGGACAGCUGGAAAAGAGAAAGGAUCACUAAGAAAAUGAUGGCUGGAGGAACCAGUCGGGAUGGGAGAUGUGUGCCGAACGUAUAUAAUGGACCAAACAUGAUGACCUCCCAGUGUCUGUGUCGCAAGCCAUAAUGCCCAAAAGCAGAGAGAGUGUGGGGAAUAUUGUCUACCAUGGAGGCAGGGGGAGGGUGGGAAAGGGGGGCUAUACUGGGGAUAUUGGUGGUGGGGAAUGUGCACUGGUGGAGGGAUGGGUGUUUGAUCAUUGUGAGAUUGUAACCCAAACAUGAAAGCUUCUAACUAUCUCAUGGUGAUUCAAUAAAAUUAAAAUAAUUUCCUCUCCUGUCUGUCAUUGUACCCAGAUUAGGCAUCUUGUUAAGGUAUUUGGG
Molecule: RNA transcript, 2224 nt
Organism: Sorex araneus (European shrew)
Lineage: Eukaryota; Metazoa; Chordata; Mammalia; Eulipotyphla; Soricidae
Gene: SLC25A26
Gene name: solute carrier family 25 member 26
Exons: 11
Source: RefSeq, a predicted model, not a curated record